AUUGAACGCUGGCGGCAGGCCUAACACAUGCCAGUCGAGCGGAUGAAGGGAGCUUGCUCCUGGAUUCAGCGGCGGACGGGUGAGUAAUGCCUAGGAAUCUGCCUGGUAGUGGGGGAUAACGUCCGGAAACGGGCGCUAAUACCGCAUACGUCCUGAGGGAGAAAGUGGGGGAUCUUCGGACCUCACGCUAUCAGGUGAGCCUAGGUCGGAUUAGCUAGUUGGUGGGGUAAAGGCCUACCAAGGCGACGAUCCGUAACUGGUCUGAGAGGAUGAUCAGUCACACUGGAACUGAGACACGGUCCAGACUCCUACGGGAGGCAGCAGUGGGGAAUAUUGGACAAUGGGCGAAAGCCUGAUCCAGCCAUGCCGCGUGUGUGAAGAAGGUCUUCGGAUUGUAAAGCACUUUAAGUUGGGAGGAAGGGCAGUAAGUUAAUACCUUGCUGUUUUGACGUUACCAACAGAAUAAGCACCGGCUGACUUCGUG
This 484-nucleotide ribosomal RNA is filed under the name uncultured bacterium. Its description in RNAcentral is "partial 16S ribosomal RNA". It matches the Rfam family "Bacterial small subunit ribosomal RNA", at positions 30 to 507 of the family's 1533-position model. The record is from RNAcentral.